UGCUCUGAGCUUGGAUUUUCCCUGUGGCAGGUGACGAUGGAAGGGGAAACAGCUUGAUCCCAACUGCAGCCGUCAUAUUAAUCCUCUGUGCUUUGACCCAGACUUUAACUUGUUUUAGCUUGCAUCAGCUGAGCAAAAUAGUUAGUAAAGAUGAAGUUAGUGGGGCGAUGGUGACAGAAGUUAGGACAAGAAGAAUUCUCCUGAAUGGGAAAGAGUUUAAUUCCAAGUCAGGAUCUGCUUCUGCUCCUACCACAGGAAAUGAUGGAUUGCUGCAUAUUGACUCAAAACAAUCUGAUGGCAGAGGGUUGUUGGAGACCUCAUAUAGCUGGGGAACAACAUGGUUGAUGAAGCGGCAUGGAGGUGCUUGAAUAUUUCCCUGACAUGUGGACAAGGCAAGAUGAAGUUUAAAGCAAUGGGACCUGGAGCUUCUGACUUUCAGCUGGACAUGGGCAACGCCAAUUCCCUGCAUUUGAUCCAGGUGCCUAAAAUCUGUGGCUAUACAAUGCGGCAAAAUGAGCUUGGCCUCGUUUUGGUUGUUCCAUAUGAUGGCUGCAAUGUGAUAGAGAAUGGAGAGUACGCAUUGGUUGGAGACUACAGUAAAGUUCACCUGCCACAUGUUGAAAAGUUCGGCUUCUGCUACCCAGAAGCCUGCUCGUCAGCCAACGAGACUUCCAUUCCCUCAAGCCCUGGAGCGUGAAUCGUCAUAAGCGUCAUUUAAUACAGCCCAACUACGAUCCUUAUCUCUAUUACUAUAUGUAUUACUUGAGUAUGUUGACGCCGCCACAACUGCUGCUACAACUACUGCUCAACCUGACACCACCCCUGUUACGCCAUCUAUGGACCCCCCUCAAACCAUGCCUCCUGGAUAUCCAUAUUAUUACUAUUAUUAUCCUUACUACUAUCCAUAUACCCUCAAAAUGCCCCAGUUAUCACUACCACUGCCACACCUACUACUGGACCUGUCACUAGUGGGAUGACUACUACAGCCACAACCAUGCCGACCACAACGACUGCUGCCCCAACCACGGUGCCGACCACCACGAUGCUGACCACCACAAUGCCGACGAUGACUUCUCAAAUGCCAACUUACCCAUAUUAUCCAAAUCCUUACUACCCUCCAGGAUUCCCGUUCAAUCUUUACUACUACCCAUAUAACCAGCCUUUCUUUGGAAAUCCUCCAUACCCUACAUAUGCACCCAUGCAAACUAAAAUGCCUCCAAUUGGCACAACGACGCAAGGUACAACUGCUCCCACCACAACACCAAAUAACGCAAGUCCUACGACGAUGGCAACAACUGUUUCUGCUUCGACUCCUGCAACCACUUCUGCUCCUACAACCACUUCUGCUCCUACAACCACUUGCUUAACGACACAAACACCAAGCAAUAACUACCCAGGCCAAAUUGGUCCAUAUACAAUGAGCUUCCCUUUACUCCAUACGUUUCAUACAAGGCUGGUAAACUCCCAGAUGACCAGAAGUACAUGCCUCAAGCUGGCUACAAAUCUGGUCUCCAGGCUCAAGCACAUCCAGGGUUUAACAACUGCAUGGCAAACUGUGCCCUGGUAUCCACACUCAAUGGGGGAGAACAAUCUAUUUGAUUGGACACUGCCUGAGGCAGAUUAACUCUAAAUGGGGCUGGUGUCCUGCAAUACUGAGCAUUGAAUAAACCAGUUUAAAUUUUAA
Molecule: long non-coding RNA, 1684 nt
Organism: Trematomus bernacchii (emerald rockcod)
Lineage: Eukaryota; Metazoa; Chordata; Actinopteri; Perciformes; Nototheniidae
Exons: 5
Source: RefSeq, a predicted model, not a curated record